GUUGAGUUUGUGGUGAUCGAGCCCUUCCCCAAAAUGGAGACAACACUGGAAGACUGUACCCAAGAAGCGCGGCCACGAGAAAGAUAAGAUUUAUGAGGACCCACCCCCAUCAUGGAAUUACCUCGCUUCCGGCCAGCACCGAUCCAGAGCAACACCCAGCUUCCUUAAAUGCUCCCCCAAAGCCCCUGCCACGGGCCCAGUCCUCUGUGUGGUCCUGUGCCCCCCCCCCAUCGCUGCUUGUUCUGCCCCAGCAGUUCACUUGGGACCCUUGGAGAUACUCCGCCUCCCUGCCCCCUGCGUGCAGCUGUGGUGGAAUCACUUCCUCUCUUAGAAAAAACAACAACAACAACAACAACAAAAACCUGGCCUUAGCUAUUAGGAUUGGAAUGGCUGACAGAAAUCUGUAUCACUCCCCUGCCAUUUUUCAGAUAAAUGUGGGCCUGGCUCAGUAAGUUAAACAUGAUUUGAAUUUCUGAUU
This is a long non-coding RNA of Ailuropoda melanoleuca (giant panda), 478 nucleotides long. RefSeq lists it as uncharacterized. Lineage: Eukaryota; Metazoa; Chordata; Mammalia; Carnivora; Ursidae. The record is from RefSeq and is a predicted model, not a curated record. The transcript is spliced from 3 exons.